CCCGGGCCUUGUACACACCGCCCGUCACACCAUGGGUGUUUGCUGCACCAGAAGCAGGUAGCCUAACCGUAAGGGGCCUUCGGCGAAGGUGGGGUUGGUGACUGGGGUG
This 109-nucleotide ribosomal RNA is filed under the name uncultured bacterium. Its description in RNAcentral is "partial 16S ribosomal RNA". It matches the Rfam family "Bacterial small subunit ribosomal RNA", at positions 1373 to 1482 of the family's 1533-position model. The record is from RNAcentral.